UAGAGAGUGAGUGAUGAAAAACAGUGAAGCGAGCAGGGAUUGCGGGGAUGAGGGAUACAUGCGUUAUAUUUGGUUUGAAGUUAGCUGGCUAGGGCCUGAGAUGAAUAAUUGACGUUUGAUGCUUUGACGCCAAGGGAACUCCCAUGCACUGCCACUGGAUGGAUCCGUAUUUGAUAUAGACAACACACCAUCCAGAAUUGUGAAUCAAGUAAACUGCAGUUGUUGCAUCUUCAAAUUUGGUAGAAUUUCUUUCUAUACCUAUUUUUCAGUCAACAUCUUAAUCUUCAAUCUCUUUCUACUCACUCACCCACUAACUCGUGUCUUCUUUGUGAACAUCAAAUCAAUCAUAACAAACAAGCUUAGUCCAUACAUAACCCACCUUCUUAUUUUUAUUCCUUGAAGGGAAAAAACUUUUCUGAACGUAUUUUAAGGUUUUGCUUGACCAAAAUCCUCUAGAGCAACACAAACAUUACAGCUUAGAAAAUACAUUGAAACAUGAUUUCCUCUUUUCUUCUAUUUAUAAAUGGAUUUGAGAUCAAUCCAAAGGAAGUGGACUUAAAGCUUACGUUAGAGUGGGAAGAAAAUAUAGCCAGCCAUAAUAUAUGUAUAGUUAAUAAUCAUACAGUGUUCGCUGUUCGUUAGAAAUUCCAAAUUUCUUCUAUUCCAAAGCUCCAAGCCUUGAGAUUGCGUGUUUUAAUUAAUUUGACACUUGCAUGUUCACACCCACACUAAGUUUAGAAUUGAUUUCCAAGGUAUCACACCUAGUAAAUUAUCCCAGAAAUUAAGGUAUCACAUGAAUGUUAAUAGUAAAUCUUCUGUCUUGGUAUUACUUCACUUGCAUAACCACGUUAAUGAGAAUUCGAUGUUUUGAAAUGCAGGACUUUCUUCAGCCUUUCUAAUUUCCUAUGCCAAUGCCUUCUUCUAGCUUUGAACAUGCUUGUAACUUGAAUAACCCAUUAACCUAGGCAUUAAAUCAAUAGAAUAUAAUCGGGA
RNAcentral lists this long non-coding RNA (993 nucleotides) under Vigna radiata. RNAcentral describes it as "long non-coding RNA (VRAD_LNC010782)". The record is from RNAcentral. Lineage: Eukaryota; Viridiplantae; Streptophyta; Magnoliopsida; Fabales; Fabaceae.